AAGAUAAAUUAACUUUUCUGUUGCAGGUAGUGAAAGCUUCUGUUGUCUUAGCUCUACCCUUUAAGUCCUACAACCCAGAGAAAUUAACUCUUGAGUUUCAGGAUCAUGUGAAAAAACAAUUGCACCUUACAAAUAUACAAGAAAGGUGGAAUUUGUUGAAGAACUCCCAAAGACAAUCACUGGGAAAAUCAAACACAACGUUUUAAGAGACCAAGAAUGGGAACAAACAUAGCUUGAUAAGAAAACUAGAGGGUUAAGUAGUAACAUGAUUGCUUUAUCUCAUUAUUUGUUCCUGAUAAUUCAGUGACUACUCUUAAAAUGUUUAAAAUCCUUCCUGGUUGAAAUUUUUGUUGACAUUUUGUUUUGCUUUAAGUUUUGUUUUCUACUUAGUUAAAAAAUUUCAAGUAAAUAAAAGUCUAAAAAUAUAUGGACGAAAGUUGUUUUAAGAACCAAACUGACAAAGGUAUUGAUAAUGUGUUUAAAUUAAUAUGAUAUAGUGUUUAAAAUAACAGGAAUCAAAUGAUUACUCAGAAAAAGAAUGUACACAGUGAAUCUUUUUAUUUAUCUUGUGCCUGAUUAAUUCAAGAUAUACAUCCUAAGAUAAAUGUUCAAGACAAUUUCUUCUGCUUAACAUCUUUAUGAGAUCAAACUUCAAGACAUUAAAAUACUGUUAAAAUGAGUACAAAUAAUUUAAAACUCAGUAAGUGAAUUUAAUGAAAUUACAUACUGUAUUACUGUACCUCAUUUUGAAGCAAAUUAACUGUAAAAUAUCUGAAACUUGGAUUUAGGAGUAUUCAUUAUUUGAGGGUAGUUAAUAUAUUUUUUAUAUCUUUCUUUUUAGGAUCAUGUCCAUGACUUUUUAUAAUUUGACAUAUAAACAUCUUUUAUGAUAUACAUAUAUAUACACUAUAAAGAGAUUUACUAAGAGGCAGAAAGGAAGAAAAAUUACAGAACACCAAUUUGUAGGGAACAAAUUUAUUUUCAUUUUUCUGAAAAUAUCAGGAACUAUGAAAAACAAGCUCGACAUUUGGCUGUACCAAAAGCAAAAUACAAGUAAAAAAUAACACUGGAAAACCAUGUUUAACCUUAGAUAAACAUAUUUCAAAAUACAAAGUUUAAUACUCUUUCCUCUAUGGAGCUAAACAAGUUUUAUAAACCACAGACUGCAGUUUUUUUGUUUUUAACCGACGUCAUUUUUAAAAAGAAAAACUAAAGGGGAAUAAAAAGUACUUACUUCCUACCCUGGAACCUCAUCAUUUAUAAAAUAACAUGUUCAAAUUUCAGUGAAAAUAAACAGUUGAUAAACCUGAAAACAAAUCUUUUAAUGAAUUCAGGUUACAACCAAGCACAGGAUUUUGUAGCUGGGAAAGAACAGCCUGUGUAACUACUGAGCCUUACCAAAUACAAAUAAAUAUAAAAGGCAAUUAAAAACAAACUAUAAAAUCAAAAUCAUUCCAUAGAGUAGCAGCUUCCACAAAGU
Cebus imitator (Panamanian white-faced capuchin) is the source of this 1480-nucleotide long non-coding RNA. RefSeq lists it as uncharacterized. NCBI's taxonomy places the organism in Eukaryota, Metazoa, Chordata, Mammalia, Primates, Cebidae. The record is from RefSeq and is a predicted model, not a curated record. The transcript is spliced from 2 exons.